AAUGGGGCGUAAGCCUGAUGCAGCAACGCCGCGUGAGGGAUGACGGCCUUCGGGUUGUAAACCUCUUUUAGCAGGGAAGAAGCGAAAGUGACGGUACCUGCAGAAAAAGCGCCGGCUAACUACGUGCCAGCAGCCGCGGUAAUACGUAGGGCGCAAGCGUUAUCCGGAAUUAUUGGGCGUAAAGAGCUCGUAGGCGGUUUGUCGCGUCUGCUGUGAAAUCCCGAGGCUCAACCUCGGGCCUGCAGUGGGUACGGGCAGACUAGAGUGCGGUAGGGGAGAUUGGAAUUCCUGGUGUAGCGGUGGAAUGCGCAGAUAUCAGGAGGAACACCGAUGGCGAAGGCAGAUCUCUGGGCCGUAACUGACGCUGAGGAGCGAAAGGGUGGGGAGCAAACAGGGUUAGAUACCCUGGUAGUCCACCCCGUAAACGUUGGGAACUAGUUGUGGGGUCCAUUCCACGGAUUCCGUGACGCAGCUAACGCAUUAAGUUCCCCGCCUGGGGAGUACGGCCG
RNAcentral lists this ribosomal RNA (509 nucleotides) under Microbacterium sp. HCUBPB12. Its description in RNAcentral is "bacterial SSU rRNA". It matches the Rfam family "Bacterial small subunit ribosomal RNA", at positions 370 to 888 of the family's 1533-position model. Lineage: Bacteria; Bacillati; Actinomycetota; Actinomycetes; Micrococcales; Microbacteriaceae. The record is from RNAcentral.